CCAGGACCUGCGUAGCAUCCUUGCACUGGGGAGAGGUGCUAUCUCUGCAGUGCUUGCCAUUACACUUGUCUUCUCCAUCCUAGUUAGCUUUCUGGGACUCUGGCUUUGCUGCUAGUGAGCAAGUGUUAUUUGCCUCUGAUUCCUUUUCCACUAGUCCCAGUGGGAAACUGAAGCAUCUGUGAAACCUUUCGCUGCUAAAAAGUGUUCCCUGGUCUUCCUCCAUAUCUGCUAUUCUGGGGAAGUCCUGCUGCUUUGUGUGCAGAAUGAUGAAUACCUCCUUCACCCUUCUCCAACCUCCUUGGUGAGAGUUCGGCUAGAUAGUCUGCAAAUAAAUCCUCCUUUCUGGUUUCCCCUGGGUGUGGGGGGUAAUCUGGCCACAGUCACUAGUCAGAGAAACCAUCUUCCUAUUGCAGCAUUUGAAUGAGCUUUGAUUCCCUUCAUUCUACACAGCAAUAUAGCAGCAUUUGCCCAAAUAAGCACUUCUCUGAAGGCAUUGAUGCUCACCACACCAGAAGGCAAAAUGCCAUGAGGAAGUCAACCGAAGAGAAUCGAUCCAUUCUGAACCCCAAGAAGUUUGGUGGUUACAGGAAAAAUAUACAGAUCUGCUGAAGCUGACCAUUAACAUCAGGCAAGGGAUCUGCCUGGAUCUUGCAACUCCAAAGCCAAGCUGAGCUACUGGAGCUGUUUGGAAUUGGCACAAGGCUCUUGCACUGCUUACACCUUCAUCCAUCAGUGUGAGGAUUACUUUCCCUCAGUGAACUGGUCAAUGACCUUAUACAUGGCAUAUUUAUUUUUUGAGCUUUAUCUAUAAAAUUAGAGCUGUGCAAAUCAAUUUGUGUAAUAGGAUCUCUAGUCACAGAUCCUUUAGUAUUUGCCUUAUAUCCUCUAAUGACCAGAGUUUUUAAUACCUUUUAAUGCUUUGGACUGGAGACAGUGUUGCCUGCUCUGUGCUUUUACUGAGUCGUGAGAUAUUUGGUCUUGUGUUUAUAGCCCCAGCUCCUGGAGGCAAAUGACUGCACGAGAAUCUUGGCUUUUGUUUUAAAGUGUUUCUAGUAAUUGUGGUUUGUGAGAAUGGCUUUAAAAUGUGAUCUGGCUCCACUGUAAAGACUCAGGAACUGGAAG
This 1122-nucleotide long non-coding RNA is filed under the name Apteryx owenii (little spotted kiwi). RNAcentral's name for it is "lncRNA (ENSAOWG00000005088.1)". Lineage: Eukaryota; Metazoa; Chordata; Aves; Apterygiformes; Apterygidae. The record is from RNAcentral.